UACGGAGGUGGCGAGCGUUGUCCGAAGUUACUGGGCGUAAAGCGCGCGUAGGCGGGGAACCAAGUCCGCUGUGAAAGCCUGAGGCUUAACCUCAGCGGGUCGGUGGAUACUGGUUCUCUUGAAGGUGCUAGGGGGAGAUGGAAUUACAGGUGUAGCGGUGAAAUGCGUAGAUAUCUGUAGGAACACCAGUGGCGAAGGCGGUCUCCUGGGGCAUUCUUGACGCUGAGGCGCGAAAGCUGGGGGAGCGAAC
This 250-nucleotide ribosomal RNA is filed under the name uncultured bacterium. RNAcentral describes it as "partial 16S ribosomal RNA". It matches the Rfam family "Bacterial small subunit ribosomal RNA", at positions 524 to 773 of the family's 1533-position model. The record is from RNAcentral.